RNAcentral lists this long non-coding RNA (471 nucleotides) under Astyanax mexicanus (Mexican tetra). RNAcentral's name for it is "lncRNA (ENSAMXG00005011101.1)". The record is from RNAcentral. Lineage: Eukaryota; Metazoa; Chordata; Actinopteri; Characiformes; Acestrorhamphidae.
GGACGCCAUGCGCAAAACGUGAGGAGAAAGAUGGGAACAGUGUUUGGAGAAUGAAAGACCACACACACACACACACACACACACACACACUUACAAAGCAGGUCCUCAACAAAAGGCUCCCCUAAAUUGACUAUUGAUCUGCAAAGCUAAAGGAUUCACCCCGUUUAUGUAGAAGAGACAGUUAGAGGCACCUUCUCAUAAGCACUCAGAGUUCUUCUAGAGGGCAUAUUGGAAAGGGUUGCGAUCGUUUUCUCCAUCAGACUGAUGGACUGUCCUCCAGACCUUGGGCGACUGAAAAAGAAAAGGAUUUGUAGAACUGGUCCCCGUGGGUUUGCAGCCUACCAGGAAUCACUGGGAGCAAGGCAGGAAAUACCCUUUCUGGACAGGGCACCACUCCAAUGCAAGGUUGUCAGCGAACUCCUCCAGGCCCUUUUUUAUAAUCUGUACUCCAUGUGUGUGGCAUGUCAGUCG